Long non-coding RNA from Cataglyphis hispanica, 1309 nucleotides. RefSeq lists it as uncharacterized. The record is from RefSeq and is a predicted model, not a curated record. The transcript is spliced from 4 exons. Lineage: Eukaryota; Metazoa; Arthropoda; Insecta; Hymenoptera; Formicidae.
GCUUAAUUUCAUUUGUUAGUGGCUUGCGUUGCUUCCAAAGGGGAUUAAUGAAAGUAAUAAUGGAUCUUUGGGGAGUAAUAAACGCGAGUAUCAUGUGUCUGCGCAGAGAGCGAAUUUAGCGCGAAGGACGUACAGAAACUAGCUCGUUUGCAAGUCGUCAUAACAGAUCUUUUCCUCUUGGCGUGGCCAAAAGGAUCGAUAGACAUACGUAGAUAAAUAGAAUAUUUGCCAAGCUUCGCUUGAAAGUGUUAACGAGCGAUCUUUCGAUGUCAAGUUGCGGUCUAGUAAGAAUGUAUCGGCCGUCUGAGAAUUGAAGACGUCGCUGAUUCAAGCGUGUCAAGGUCGUGCGGGAAGACAACACGAUCGUGCUCGUUCAGAAUUUGCGGCAGGUGCCACAUGGCACGACCUGCACGCAUUUGCAUCCGUUUCGUCGACGUGAUCGCGAGGAGACGACGUAGGGCAGCUCCGAGGUCAUCUGAGAAUAUAUCUGUCAAAUUCGACGAUUGAUUGUGUCUGAUCGACUCACGCUGAUGAACAUGUGUCAACCUCUCCUGGAACCUAGCCCUUUCCCUGCGUGUCGCUGAUAUUGACCGGCGGGAUUCACGCAGUUUACGACAAGCGCCGGCGCGCGCUCUACUUGCAGCACUUUCAUGACAGAACGAGGGAGAGAGCCGUGAGCGAGCUGGGGGAGAAGAGAGAUGCUUUUCACUGUGUCCAGAAUCGGGAAGUCCCGCCGUUCGUAAGCAGCAAGGCACGGACGGGCUCUUCUUCGAUCUCGAGCGCGCAAGAAGCGAACGACUUUUCUCGCUGGAAACCAGGUCGUGCCGGAUGACCGUCGUGAAGCGUGCACCAGGCGUCGUCUUUCUCUCUUUCGAUUGAUUUAUAUGUGCCGAUCUAUUUACUAUCACUACCAUUACAUAUAUGGCGUGCUACAAGAGCGAGAUACAAGAUUAAGAUUAAUAAGAUUAAUAUCAAUAGAUCGACGAAGUAGUAAAUAUUUCUUUUAAUUUCUGAUAUAUUUUUGCUGCAAUCUUAUUCUUUAAUUUUGAUGCAUAAACACUUCUAUCUGUUAAAAAAAAAAUUAAUCUCAACAUGAUUUUUGUCGAUUGGAAAAAGAUCAGGAAAUUGGCCUAAUAUUUUUAAAGUAAAAUUUAAUAUUACGCAUGAAGACUUACACUAUAUAAUUGGCGUCAAACAAAUAUAUGUUUGGUUUAUUUAUCAUAUUUCGUUUAUAGAUUAUUUAACGCGCGAUUUACGCAACCACACAUUUUUGCUUAUCUAUAAUAAAUUCAACGAAUUAUUUAACGCA